RNAcentral lists this unclassified non-coding RNA (398 nucleotides) under Lenwebbia sp. Blackall Range. Its description in RNAcentral is "partial miscellaneous RNA". The record is from RNAcentral. Lineage: Eukaryota; Viridiplantae; Streptophyta; Magnoliopsida; Myrtales; Myrtaceae.
ACCUAGCUGCUGUCGAAGCUCCWCUACAAAUGGAUAAGACUUUGGUCUUAGUAUAAGUGUAGUUGAGUUUUUGAUUGCAAAAUAAAGGAGCAAUAACCAACACUCKUGAUAGAAUAAGAAAYUGGUUAUUGUUCCUUUAUCUAGUGSUCUUUUCUUUACAUAAGUGUUUCUUUACUUCAACAUAAGAAAAGGUAUUCGAGUCUUAGGAAUUGGUUUAUGAUUGCGUAUCAUACUUUAGAUAUGAAUUUCUAAUUUAUAUACUUCUUUUCMACCCUUUGUAAGUCUUUGUGAGAUUAUUAUCUUCUAGUUYUUUUUUCGAAUAAAAUACAAAGGGUAGCAUUUUCUGCUUCUUCUAUCUCAUAAGUAAGGUAAAAAAUGUUAAAAAUUAACAAUCGAAA